AAGCAGAGGGGGCUUAGUGGUGGGGUGACUGCGUACCUUUUGUAUAAUGGGUCAGCGACUUAUAUUCUGUAGCAAGGUUAACCGAAUAGGGGAGCCGGAGGGAAACCGAGUCUUAAUUGGGCGUUAAGUUGCAGGGUAUAGACCCGAAACCCGGUGAUCUAGCCAUGGGCAGGUUGAAGGUUGGGUAACACUAACUGGAGGACCGAACCGACUAAUGUUGAAAAAUUAGCGGAUGACCUGUGGCUGGGGGUGAAAGGCCAAUCAAACCGGGAGAUAGCUGGUUCUCCCCGAAAGCUAUUUAGGUAGCGCCUCGUGAAUUCAUCUCCGGGGGUAGAGCACUGUUUCGGCUAGGGGGUCAUCCCGACUUACCAACCCGAUGCAAACUGCGAAUACCGGAGAAUGUUAUCACGGGAGACACACGGCGGGUGCUAACGUCCGUCGUGAAGAGGGAAACAACCCAGACCGCCAGCUAAGGUCCCAAAGUCAUGGUUAAGUGGGAAACGAUGUGGGAAGGCCCAGACAGCCAGGAUGUUGGCUUAGAAGCAGCCAUCAUUUAAAGAAAGCGUAAUAGCUCACUGGUCGAGUCGGCCUGCGCGGAAGAUGUAACGGGGCUAAACCAUGCACCGAAGCUGCGGCAGCGAACGUAUCACCCAAGACAACUUUGCGGAGUUGACGAUUGACGGAGCGAAGCGACGUCAAAGCGUUCAUUAAAGUCGAGUUGGCUUAGGGAUACGUUCGUUGGGUAGGGGAGCGUUCUGUAAGCCUGUGAAGGUGUGUCGUGAGGCAUGCUGGAGGUAUCAGAAGUGCGAAUGCUGACAUAAGUAACGAUAAAGCGGGUGAAAAGCCCGCUCGCCGGAAGACCAAGGGUUCCUGUCCAACGUUAAUCGGGGCAGGGUGAGUCGACCCCUAAGGCGAGGCCGAAAGGCGUAGUCGAUGGGAAACGGGUUAAUAUUCCCGUACUUGGUGUUACUGCGAAGGGGGGACGGAGAAGGCUAUGUUGGCCGGGCGACGGUUGUCCCGGUUUAAGCGUGUAGGCUGGUUUUCCAGGCAAAUCCG
RNAcentral lists this ribosomal RNA (1056 nucleotides) under Salmonella enterica. RNAcentral describes it as "partial 23S ribosomal RNA". It matches the Rfam family "Bacterial large subunit ribosomal RNA", at positions 568 to 1544 of the family's 2925-position model. Lineage: Bacteria; Pseudomonadati; Pseudomonadota; Gammaproteobacteria; Enterobacterales; Enterobacteriaceae. The record is from RNAcentral.